UACGUAGGUGGCAAGCGUUGUCCGGAUUUAUUGGGUUUAAAGGGUGCGUAGGCGGCCUUAUAAGUCAGUGCUGAAAUACUCUAGCUUAACUAGAGGGGUGGCAUUGAUACUGUAGGGCUUGAGUACAGUCGAGGUAGGCGGAAUUGACGGUGUAGCGGUGAAAUGCUUAGAUAUCGUCAAGAACACCGAUAGUGUAGACAGCUUACUAGGCUGUAACUGGCGCUGAGGCACGAAAGUGUGGGGAUCAAACAGG
Molecule: ribosomal RNA, 253 nt
Filed under: uncultured bacterium
Lineage: Bacteria
Description: partial 16S ribosomal RNA
Rfam family: Bacterial small subunit ribosomal RNA
Source: RNAcentral